GUGAGAAUGACUGAGUGGUUAAAAGUGAUCGACUGUAAAUCGAUUGUAUUAUAUACGCAUAGGUUCGAAUCCUAUUUCUCCCA
Molecule: transfer RNA, 83 nt
Filed under: Heterostelium pallidum
Lineage: Eukaryota; Evosea; Eumycetozoa; Acytosteliales; Acytosteliaceae
Description: tRNA-Tyr
Rfam family: tRNA
About the family: Transfer RNA (tRNA) molecules are approximately 80 nucleotides in length. Their secondary structure includes four short double-helical elements and three loops (D, anti-codon, and T loops).
Source: RNAcentral